AGAGUUUGAUCAUGGCUCAGGACGAACGCUGGCGGUGUGCUUAAGACAUGCAAGUCGAGCGGUCCCGCAAGGGACAGCGGCGGACGGGUGAGUAACACGUGGAUAACCUGCCCGACUCCCCGGGAUAACAGGCCGAAAGGCCUGCUAAUACCGGGUAAGCUCACAUCACCGCAUGGUGGUGGGAGAAAAGGUCCCGCAAGGGGCUGGGGUUGGAGGGGUCCGCGGUCCAUUAGCUAGUUGGGGGGGUAACGGCCCACCAAGGCGACGAUGGAUAGCCGGCCUGAGAGGGCGACCGGCCACACUGGGACUGAGACACGGCCCAGACUCCUACGGGAGGCAGCAGUCGGGAAUUUUGGGCAAUGGCCGAAAGGGCUGACCCAGCAACACCGCGUGAGUGAAGAAGGCCUUCGGGUUGUAAAGCUCUGUUGCCCGUGAAGAACGGUGCUUUCAGGAAAUGGGAAGCACUUGACGGUAGCGGGAGAGGAAGCUCCGGCUAACUACGUGCCAGCAGCCGCGGUAAUACGUAGGGAGCGAGCGUUGUCCGGAUUUAUUGGGCGUAAAGGGCGUGUAGGCGGCCUGUUAAGUCCGAAGUGAAAACUCGGGGCUCAACCCCGAGCCGGCUUCGGAUACUGGUGGGCUUGAGUGCUCUAGAGGGCAGUGGAAUUCCCGGUGUAGCAGUGAAAUGCGUAGAGAUCGGGAGGAACACCAGUGGCGAAGGCGACUGCCUGGGGAGUAACUGACGCUGAGGCGCGAAAGCUGGGGGAGCAAACGGGAUUAGAUACCCCGGUAGUCCCAGCCGUAAACGAUGAGUGCUAGGUGUAGCGGGUAUCGACCCCCGCUGUGCCGGAGUUAACGCAAUAAGCACUCCGCCUGGGGAGUACGGCCGCAAGGUUGAAACUCAAAGGAAUUGACGG
This 914-nucleotide ribosomal RNA is filed under the name uncultured bacterium. Its description in RNAcentral is "bacterial SSU rRNA". It matches the Rfam family "Bacterial small subunit ribosomal RNA", at positions 8 to 916 of the family's 1533-position model. The record is from RNAcentral.